GGGUCAUUAGUAUAGUGGUAGUAUACCUGCUUCGGGUGAUAAUCGAAGCUCUACGAUUCGUUUCGUACUUGCAGGUGACCCCGGAUCAAACCCGGGAUGACCCC
Molecule: non-coding RNA, 104 nt
Organism: Geotrichum bryndzae
Lineage: Eukaryota; Fungi; Ascomycota; Dipodascomycetes; Dipodascales; Dipodascaceae
Source: the annotation of a GenBank genome assembly